This 90-nucleotide transfer RNA is filed under the name Shimwellia blattae DSM 4481 = NBRC 105725. Its description in RNAcentral is "tRNA-Leu". It matches the Rfam family "tRNA". Rfam says of the family: Transfer RNA (tRNA) molecules are approximately 80 nucleotides in length. The record is from RNAcentral. Lineage: Bacteria; Pseudomonadati; Pseudomonadota; Gammaproteobacteria; Enterobacterales; Enterobacteriaceae.
GCGAAGGUGGCGGAAUUGGUAGACGCGCUAGCUUCAGGUGUUAGUGUCUUAACGGACGUGAGGGUUCAAGUCCCUCUCUUCGCACCACAC